RNAcentral lists this ribosomal RNA (425 nucleotides) under uncultured bacterium. Its description in RNAcentral is "bacterial SSU rRNA". It matches the Rfam family "Bacterial small subunit ribosomal RNA", at positions 354 to 796 of the family's 1533-position model. The record is from RNAcentral.
GUGGGGAAUAUUGGACAAUGGGCGCAAGCCUGAUCCAGCCAUGCCGCGUGAGUGAUGAAGGCCUUAGGGUUGUAAAGCUCUUUCACCGAUGAAGAUAAUGACGGUAGUCGGAGAAGAAGCCCCGGCUAACUUCGUGCCAGCAGCCGCGGUAAUACGAAGGGGGCUAGCGUUGUUCGGAUUUACUGGGCGUAAAGCGCACGUAGGCGGUUUGUUAAGUCAGAGGUGAAAUCCCGGAGCUCAACUCCGGAACUGCCGUUGAUACUGGCAAGCUAGAGUCCGGAAGAGGUAAGUGGAACUCCUAGUGUAGAGGUGGAAUUCGUAGAUAUUAGGAAGAACACCAGUGGCGAAGGCGGCUUACUGGUCCGGAACUGACGCUGAGGUGCGAAAGCGUGGAGAGCAAACAGGAUUAGAUACCCGAGUAGUCC